Molecule: long non-coding RNA, 306 nt
Filed under: Androctonus crassicauda
Lineage: Eukaryota; Metazoa; Arthropoda; Arachnida; Scorpiones; Buthidae
Source: RNAcentral
UAAGUGAUAAUUUGCAGUUACUGCAUCCUAAAUUUUCCACCAAAUUUUCCAACAAAGUUGUAUCUAUGAAAAUAAAUGUUGGCUUACUGGAAAUGUCUGAAUCCGAAAACUUUUCGUUAUUAAUUGCUCUAUUAUUGUUCAGUUCUUGCUCAAAUGAUCUAAACUUUCAUUAUAAUGCUGAUUCAACCUCAGAUUUAUCUAUCUUGGAAGAUUCGCUGUUAGUGACAUAUUCAUCAUCACUGUGUGACGAGCGCUUUAAUUUCUUCCGUGCAGCACUUAAUUAGUGUUUCCUCGAUUUCCUUUUUA